RNAcentral lists this ribosomal RNA (735 nucleotides) under Streptococcus oralis subsp. tigurinus. RNAcentral's name for it is "bacterial SSU rRNA". It matches the Rfam family "Bacterial small subunit ribosomal RNA", at positions 39 to 757 of the family's 1533-position model. The record is from RNAcentral. Lineage: Bacteria; Bacillati; Bacillota; Bacilli; Lactobacillales; Streptococcaceae.
GCGGCGUGCCUAAUACAUGCAAGUAGAACGCUGAAGAGAGGAGCUUGCUCUUCUUGGAUGAGUUGCGAACGGGUGAGUAACGCGUAGGUAACCUGCCUGGUAGCGGGGGAUAACUAUUGGAAACGAUAGCUAAUACCGCAUAAAAUGGAUUAUCGCAUGAUAAUCCAUUGAAAGGUGCAAAUGCAUCACUACCAGAUGGACCUGCGUUGUAUUAGUUAGUUGGUGGGGUAACGGCUCACCAAGGCGACGAUACAUAGCCGACCUGAGAGGGUGAACGGCCACACUGGGACUGAGACACGGCCCAGACUCCUACGGGAGGCAGCAGUAGGGAAUCUUCGGCAAUGGACGGAAGUCUGACCGAGCAACGCCGCGUGAGUGAAGAAGGUUUUCGGAUCGUAAAGCUCUGUUGUAAGAGAAGAACGAGUGUGAGAGUGGAAAGUUCACACUGUGACGGUAUCUUACCAGAAAGGGACGGCUAACUACGUGCCAGCAGCCGCGGUAAUACGUAGGUCCCGAGCGUUGUCCGGAUUUAUUGGGCGUAAAGCGAGCGCAGGCGGUUAGAUAAGUCUGAAGUUAAAGGCUGUGGCUUAACCAUAGUACGCUUUGGAAACUGUUUAACUUGAGUGCAAGAGGGGAGAGUGGAAUUCCAUGUGUAGCGGUGAAAUGCGUAGAUAUAUGGAGGAACACCGGUGGCGAAAGCGGCUCUCUGGCUUGUAACUGACGCUGAGGCUCGAA